RNAcentral lists this ribosomal RNA (256 nucleotides) under uncultured bacterium. RNAcentral's name for it is "partial 16S ribosomal RNA". It matches the Rfam family "Bacterial small subunit ribosomal RNA", at positions 96 to 353 of the family's 1533-position model. The record is from RNAcentral.
UGGCGGACGGGUGAGUAAUGUCUGGGAAGCUGCCUGAUGGAGGGGGAUAACUACUGGAAACGGUAGCUAAUACCGCAUAACGUCGCAAGACCAAAGAGGGGGACCUUCGGGCCUCUUGCCAUCGGAUGUGCCCAGAUGGGAUUAGCUAGUAGGUGGGGUAACGGCUCACCUGGGCGACGAUCCCUAGCUGGUCUGAGAGGAUGACCAGCCACACUGGAACUGAGACACGGUCCAGACUCCUACGGGAGGCAGCAUG